This is a long non-coding RNA of Eubalaena glacialis (North Atlantic right whale), 244 nucleotides long. RefSeq lists it as uncharacterized. The transcript is spliced from 3 exons. Lineage: Eukaryota; Metazoa; Chordata; Mammalia; Artiodactyla; Balaenidae. The record is from RefSeq and is a predicted model, not a curated record.
CCACAGCCGCUCGGGCGGGGCCCCUCCUCUCCGCUUCCUCUUUCUUCUCCUCUCCUGCCUCCUUCCGGGAUGUUUGCCCACACGGAGGCCCCCAUGAAGGAUCAAUUUCUCCUGGAUUCAUUCAGUCAGCAAGUAUUUACUGAGUAUCAACUGUACCCCAAGUUCUGUUUCCGGGCACUGAGAAUUCGGGGACGAAUAAGAUAGUGAAUUCCCAACAUUAUGUCACGUUACCGGAAGCCGUGAG